Molecule: ribosomal RNA, 640 nt
Filed under: uncultured Alphaproteobacteria bacterium
Lineage: Bacteria; Pseudomonadati; Pseudomonadota; Alphaproteobacteria
Description: bacterial SSU rRNA
Rfam family: Bacterial small subunit ribosomal RNA
Source: RNAcentral
GCCUAAUACACGCAAGUCGAACGAGAUCUUCGGAUCUAGUGGCGCACGGGUGCGUAACGCGUGGGAAUCUGCCCUUGGGUUCGGAAUAACUUCUGGAAACGGAAGCUAAUACCGGAUGAUGACGUAAGUCCAAAGAUUUAUCGCCCAAGGAUGAGCCCGCGUAGGAUUAGCUAGUUGGUGGGGUAAAGGCUCACCAAGGCGACGAUCCUUAGCUGGUCUGAGAGGAUGAUCAGCCACACUGGGACUGAGACACGGCCCAGACUCCUACGGGAGGCAGCAGUAGGGAAUAUUGGACAAUGGGCGAAAGCCUGAUCCAGCAAUGCCGCGUGAGUGAUGAAGGCCUUAGGGUUGUAAAGCUCUUUUACCCGGGAUGAUAAUGACAGUACCGGGAGAAUAAGCUCCGGCUAACUCCGUGCCAGCAGCCGCGGUAAUACGGAGGGAGCUAGCGUUGUUCGGAAUUACUGGGCGUAAAGCGCACGUAGGCGGCUAUUCAAGUCAGAGGUGAAAGCCCGGGGCUCAACCCCGGAACUGCCCUUGAAACUAGAUAGCUUGAAUCCAGGAGAGGUGAGUGGAAUUCCGAGUGUAGAGGUGAAAUUCGUAGAUAUUCGGAAGAACACCAGUGGCGAAGGCGGCUCACUGG